CCUACGGGUGACAGCAGUGGGGAAUAUUGCACAAUGGGGGGAACCCUGAUGCAGCGACGCCGCGUGAGUGAAGAAGUAUUUCGGUAUGUAAAGCUCUGUCAGCAGGGAAGAAGAAAGACGUUACUUGACCAAGAAGCCCCGGCUAACGACGUCCCAGCAGCCGCGGUAAUACGUAGGGGGCAAGCGUUAUCCGGAUUUACUGGGUGUAAAGGGAGCGUAGACGGCAGGGCAAGUCUGUGGUGAAAGGCAGGGGCCCAACCCCUGGACUGCUUUGGAAACUGUCCGGCUGGAGUGCAGGAGAGGUAGGUGGAAUUCCUGGUGUAGCGGUGAAAUGCGUAGAUAUUAGGAGGAACACCAAUGGCGAAGGCGGCUUACUGGACUAUAACUGACGUUGAGGCACGAAAGCGUGGGGAGCAAACAGGAUUAGAUACCCCUGUAGUC
RNAcentral lists this ribosomal RNA (441 nucleotides) under uncultured bacterium. Its description in RNAcentral is "partial 16S ribosomal RNA". It matches the Rfam family "Bacterial small subunit ribosomal RNA", at positions 338 to 795 of the family's 1533-position model. The record is from RNAcentral.